GAUGAGCGCUGGCGGCGUGCCUAAUACAUGCAAGUCGAGCGAACAGACGAGGAGCUUGCUCCUCUGACGUUAGCGGCGGACGGGUGAGUAACACGUGGAUAACCUACCUAUAAGACUGGGAUAACUUCGGGAAACCGGAGCUAAUACCGGAUAAUAUAUUGAACCGCAUGGUUCAAUAGUGAAAGACGGUUUUGCUGUCACUUAUAGAUGGAUCCGCGCCGCAUUAGCUAGUUGGUAAGGUAACGGCUUACCAAGGCGACGAUGCGUAGCCGACCUGAGAGGGUGAUCGGCCACACUGGAACUGAGACACGGUCCAGACUCCUACGGGAGGCAGCAGUAGGGAAUCUUCCGCAAUGGGCGAAAGCCUGACGGAGCAACGCCGCGUGAGUGAUGAAGGUCUUCGGAACGUAAAACUCUGUUAUUAGGGAAGAACAAAUGUGUAAGUAACUAUGCACGUCUUGACGGUACCUAAUCAGAAAGCCACGGCUAACUACGUG
This 497-nucleotide ribosomal RNA is filed under the name uncultured bacterium. RNAcentral describes it as "partial 16S ribosomal RNA". It matches the Rfam family "Bacterial small subunit ribosomal RNA", at positions 28 to 507 of the family's 1533-position model. The record is from RNAcentral.